This 407-nucleotide ribosomal RNA is filed under the name Salpingoeca pyxidium. RNAcentral describes it as "partial small subunit ribosomal RNA". It matches the Rfam family "Eukaryotic small subunit ribosomal RNA", at positions 30 to 432 of the family's 1831-position model. The record is from RNAcentral. Lineage: Eukaryota; Choanoflagellata; Craspedida; Salpingoecidae.
GCUUGUCUCAAAGAUUAAGCCAUGCAUGUCUAAGUAUAAACAACUUUGUACUGUGAAACUGCGAAUGGCUCAUUAUAUCAGUUAUAGUCUACUCGAUAGUACCUUACUACUUGGAUAACCGUAGUAAUUCUAGAGCUAAUACAUGCGUAAAUACCCAACUGCUUGUCGGACGGGUAGCAUUUAUUAGAUUGAAACCAAUGCAGCUUCGGCUGGUAUUGUGUUGAGUCAUAAUAACUGUGCGGAUCGCAUGGCCUUGCGCCGGCGACGCUUCAUUCAAAUUUCUGCCCUAUCAACUUUCGAUGGUAAGAUAGAGGCUUACCAUGGUGUUAACGGGUAACGGGGAAUUGGGGUUCGAUUCCGGAGAGGGAGCCUGAGAAAUGGCUACCACUUCCAAGGAAGGCAGCAGG